UUCUACCAGGCGGGCCUCGUUGGCCGUCU
RNAcentral lists this small RNA (29 nucleotides) under Bombyx mori (domestic silkworm). Its description in RNAcentral is "ovarian small RNA-37465". The record is from RNAcentral. Lineage: Eukaryota; Metazoa; Arthropoda; Insecta; Lepidoptera; Bombycidae.